This 310-nucleotide long non-coding RNA is filed under the name Lathyrus oleraceus (garden pea). RNAcentral's name for it is "Pisum sativum (pea) long non-coding RNA (PSAT_LNC038037)". Lineage: Eukaryota; Viridiplantae; Streptophyta; Magnoliopsida; Fabales; Fabaceae. The record is from RNAcentral.
UAUCUAAGGGGCCUGGUCCUUGGAAUGACCACGUGUUGACCCCUUGGUCAACCAGACCCAACCAAUGGGCCCAGCGCGUUUGGGCCUUUUGGUUUCACUAUUUGGGUCCCUUUUCUUAUUUUUUCACCCCUUUCUUUCUUUCAAUUUAUUUUAUUUUUCUUUCUUUUUUAUUUAUUUUGCUUUAUUUGAUUUUAUUUCUUUUCCUGAUUUUAUUUUAAUUCAUUUUGUUUUCUAUUAUUUUUUCUCCCUUUCUUAUUUUUUCCCCUUUAUUAUUUUCAUUUAUUUAUUUUAUUUUGUUAUUUUACUUUCU